AUAGUUAUCUGGUUGAUCCUGCCAGUAGUCAUAUGCUUGUCUCAAAGAUUAAGCCAUGCAUGUCUAAGUAUAAGCAAUCUAUACAGUGAAACUGCGAAUGGCUCAUUAAAUCAGUUAUCGUUUAUUUGAUAGUACCUUUACUACUUGGAUAACCGUGGUAAUUCUAGAGCUAAUACAUGCUAAAAAUCCCGACUGUUUGGAAGGGAUGUAUUUAUUAGAUAAAAAAUCAAUGCUUUUCGGAGCUCUUUGAUGAUUCAUAAUAACUUUUCGAAUCGCAUGGCCUUGUGCUGGCGAUGGUUCAUUCAAAUUUCUGCCCUAUCAACUUUCGAUGGUAGGAUAGUGGCCUACCAUGGUGGCAACGGGUAACGGGGAAUUAGGGUUCGAUUCCGGAGAGGGAGCCUGAGAAACGGCUACCACAUCCAAGGAAGGCAGCAGGCG
This 438-nucleotide ribosomal RNA is filed under the name Tetragenococcus halophilus. Its description in RNAcentral is "SSU rRNA". It matches the Rfam family "Eukaryotic small subunit ribosomal RNA", at positions 1 to 434 of the family's 1831-position model. Lineage: Bacteria; Bacillati; Bacillota; Bacilli; Lactobacillales; Enterococcaceae. The record is from RNAcentral.